AUGGCAACCGGCAUUCUGGAGGUUAUACCAGCUCCAAUUGCAACAUUUGACAUCAGUGAUGACAACAAGUUGGCCGAGAAUUACAAAACAUGUGUCGAAGCCAUCAGGAGUCACAUGGCGAAAGAAACGGAUGUGAAGUUUACUGUUACUGUGGAAGGCAAGGAGGCGACAGUUCCUGUGACUCCAAAGAAAAACCAUACACCAUCUGGUAUGUACGUAAUAGAAGUCACAGAUGGCAAGAAGAGUCUGCAACUUGUCGGCACAAAAUUUCAAGCAUGGUUUAGGGGCAUUGUGAACAAUAGUGGGGAUCGUUUUGAGGUUGAUGACAAAGAGUCGAAGAUGAUGAGGAACUUGCAGAUUUCAAGGUGGGAUAUCAUCGGUUGA
Molecule: ribosomal RNA, 384 nt
Filed under: Triticum aestivum (bread wheat)
Lineage: Eukaryota; Viridiplantae; Streptophyta; Magnoliopsida; Poales; Poaceae
Description: partial small subunit ribosomal RNA
Source: RNAcentral